RNAcentral lists this transfer RNA (70 nucleotides) under Ictidomys tridecemlineatus (thirteen-lined ground squirrel). Its description in RNAcentral is "Spermophilus tridecemlineatus (thirteen-lined ground squirrel) tRNA". It matches the Rfam family "tRNA". Rfam says of the family: Transfer RNA (tRNA) molecules are approximately 80 nucleotides in length. Their secondary structure includes four short double-helical elements and three loops (D, anti-codon, and T loops). Further hydrogen bonds mediate the characteristic L-shaped molecular structure. tRNAs have two regions of fundamental functional importance: the anti-codon, which is responsible for specific mRNA codon recognition, and the 3' end, to which the tRNAs corresponding amino acid is attached (by aminoacyl-tRNA synthetases). tRNAs cope with the degeneracy of the genetic code in two manners: having more than one tRNA (with a specific anti-codon) for a particular amino acid; and 'wobble' base-pairing, i.e. permitting non-standard base-pairing at the 3rd anti-codon position. The record is from Rfam by way of RNAcentral. Lineage: Eukaryota; Metazoa; Chordata; Mammalia; Rodentia; Sciuridae.
UGUAUUGUGGCUCAGUGGUAGAGCAUUUGCCUAGCAUGCAAGGCCCUGGGUUCGAUCCUUAGCACCACAA